Molecule: ribosomal RNA, 1472 nt
Filed under: human metagenome
Description: bacterial LSU rRNA
Rfam family: Bacterial large subunit ribosomal RNA
Source: RNAcentral
GGGUAGGGGUGAAAUUCCAAUCGAACUUGGAGAUAGCUGGUUCUCCUCGAAAUAGCUUUAGGGCUAGCGUGUAAUGUUAAGUGAUGGGGGUAGAGCACUGAAUAUGGAAUGGCGGCGCCUAGCCGUACUGACUAUAAUCAAACUCCGAAUACUAUCAUGUACUAUUAUGCAGUCGGUACAUCGGUGAUAACGUCGAUGCACGCGAGGGAAACAACCCAGAUCGUCAGCUAAGGUCCCAAAAUUGUGUUAAGUGAGAAAGGUUGUGAAGUUUCUUAAACAGCUAGGAUGUUGGCUCAGAAGCAGCCACCAUUUAAAGAGUGCGUAAUAGCUCACUAGUCGAGAGACUUUGUGCCGAUAAUUCAACGGGACUAAAACACAAUACCGAAGCUACGGGCAUGUAAAUGCGUUAGAGGAGCGUUCUAAGGGCAUUGAAGCUAGACUGUAAAGACUAGUGGAGCGCUUAGAAGUGAGAAUGCCGGUAUGAGUAACGAUUCAAAGUGAGAAUCUUUGACGCCUAUUGGGGAAGGUUUCCUGGGCAAGGUUCGUCCACCCAGGGUUAGUCGGGUCCUAAGACGAGGCCGAAAGGCAUAGCCGAUGGACAACAGGUUAAUAUUCCUGUACUUUCUUGAAUGUGAUGGAGUGACGGGGGAGGAUAGUUUUACCACUUAUUGGAUUGUGGGGUAAGUAGAGACUGGGUGAUGUUGGCAAAUCCGCAUCACAUUAACCGGAACAUACGAUGCAUAGUGAAAGGGUAACCAAGUAGCGAAUUAAAUGAUUUCAUACCUCUUAAAAAAGCUUCUAGCUAUAAAUUCUGUGAAACCCGUACCGAGAACGGACACACGUCCCCAAGAUGAGUAUUCUAAGGCGAGCGAGAAAACCAAUGUCAAGGAACUCUGCAAAUUCAUCCCGUAAGUUCGCAAGAAGGGAUGCCCAUAGUAACAUAUGGGCCGCAGUGAAUAGUAAGGGGGAACUGUUUAUCAAAAACACAGCUCUAUGCUAAGUCGUAAGACGAUGUAUAUGGGGUGACUCCUGCCCAGUGCCCGAAGGUUAAGCAAAGGUGUUAGCGUAUGCGAAGCAUUGAUGUGAAGCCCGGGUGAACGGCGGCCGUAACUAUAACGGUCCUAAGGUAGCGAAAUUCCUUGUCGGCUAAAUACUGACCUGCACGAAAGGAGUAAUUAUCUCUUAACUGUCUCGACAUUGGACUCGGUGAAAUUAUGGUUGCGGCGAAGACGCCGCAUACCCGCAUCUAGACGAAAAGACCCCGUGGAGCUUUACUAUAACUUCAUAUUGGAGUUUGAAUUAACUUGUGUAGGAUAGGUGGGAGACUUUGAAGCAAGGACGCUAGUUCUUGUGGAGUCAUCGUUGAAAUACCACCCUUGUUACUUUGAACUUCUAACUUGUUACCAUUAUCUGGUAAGAGGACAGUGUGUGGUGGGUAGUUUGACUGGGGCGGUCGCCUCCCAAAAUGUAAC